This 3754-nucleotide ribosomal RNA is filed under the name Triticum aestivum (bread wheat). RNAcentral describes it as "partial small subunit ribosomal RNA". Lineage: Eukaryota; Viridiplantae; Streptophyta; Magnoliopsida; Poales; Poaceae. The record is from RNAcentral.
CGAGGCAGAGGCUGCUUGAGCAACGCUGUGGGUUGGUUUGGCGCUGCGUUGCGUAGGUUUUUCCCGUUGGUUGUUUCAAGCGACGAGGAAAGAGGGUGUAGAGCGAAAGGCGUAGGAGGAGAGGGGUGGAAGCGAAAGACGUAGGGGCGAAGGCGGGUUUUUUUAGGGGGGAGUUAGGGCGGGUGAGCUAAAGGGGGACUUAGGGGGGGCGGCUUGGUUGGGCAACUGGGCUAGAGGGGCACAAAAAAAAAAGUUAAGUUAAGCAGGCGGCGGCUAAAAGGGGGCGAGCAGCAGCUUGACUUAGCGCGGCAGGCACCGCGCCGCCGCCGCCAACUGGGAAAGCGCGAUCCCAAGCCCGAGCCCCUGCUACCGGUCGGUGCCUCGACGCGGCCGGCGGCCUAGGCUGCGGCGCGCGCAGCUCCAGUCGCCGUGUCCGGUCUGUUUGGUCGGACGAAUAGGCGGAAAUCAAAGACCCCUAGUAAGUACCAGGAGAUGUUGACCGCGUCGUCGUCGUCCAAGCACCUUGAUGGGUCACCGGUUAGUUUCAGUUCUGCGUCAUAUGAUACUAGGCGUUUCCCUACAUAGCCAAAGUCCUCUAUUAGUUUUACACCGCUCGUCACGCGGAGGACGACAUGUCAGCUGAUACCCGAACUGUUUACGUUCAGUAAGAGUACACGGAAUGAGUUCAAGUGAAGUCGUACCGAUGUUAGGACGUCUUAUACGUUUGAUAAUGAUAUUGAUGGGUGUUCGUUGUUUAUCAACAAGACACGUCGUUCCUCCUCGUUUGGUUGUAAGUCCACGUCGAAUAGUCGGAGAAUGAAGUAAAGUCUUAAGACCCAGAAUGCAACUAGGACGUUCAUUGUGUAUAAUGUUACGACCACCAGUGGUCUGACGCGGUCCUAUACGUUGGUGGUUGAUAAUAAUAGUCUGGCUGUGAGCAUUACUACCUUCGAGUCGUUUGUUAAUACGGGUCAGUAUGGUCUUGAUGGGUAGGAGACUAUGGUUACGUCGGGUUUCAAGGUCAUGUCACGGACGGUUAAGAAAGAGUAUAGUCGUUGUCAUGUUGGUCACCGGUAUGAUAAUGUUAGUGAGACACGGUUGAGGACGACCGUUAGGUCAACGACCCUCGUCGUUGUAUCUAUUAUGUCAGCAAUCGUGGUGAAGACCAAUGAGAAUAGGAUCAUACCUCGGUGGAGGCGGCCCAUGAUGUGGUACCUUUUCAUUAAGUCCACGAAGACAACGUGGAGGACAUGUCCGAGGUUCGCAAGGUCUUGGAGUUUUAGUCAUGCAGGUUGUUCGCGUUCAUUGAGGUCCCAAGGUUUUGGUCAUACGGAUAGUCCGUGGUCCACAGGGUCACAGAGUCUUGAUGAUGCGGUCGGUCCGUGGUCGUAUGGGUGUUUUGUUAUACUUACACUUAGUUCAUGGAAACUUGUUGGUACCACUAGUUGUCUUCUCACCAAGAAACUGCUGUCCAUAAAUGUCAUCGCUUUUGUUUUGUGUCUAAGGCUGGUAAGGAGCUUAACGAGGACCAAAGAGAUACCAUUAUGGUUUCUCACUCUUCUUUUAAGAUCCACGACUAAACCGUUUCUUUGGACGGAUACAAUCACAAAGACACGGCUUCUUACUACUGUUUCGUCAAGUUUUACCAAGUCUGCGAUCUAGAGAGGGAAAAAGCGACGCAUUAAUACGGUACUCCUUAGAAUCGGCAACGUUCCUACUCCGGGUCUCCCGACGAACGGUUUGGUACUAUGUUGUCUAGUGUUCGUUUCGAUAAUCGUUACCUUGGGAGGAAUGAUUCUUAACCCUGUGACUUGGCGACUAAGGAAACGGUCUCUUAGAAAACUGGUACUGGCUUUGUUCACGUUUGUUAAGUUCAAGGAACGGUUGUAGAAGAUGGGGAUUUUCUGCCGACUUUUCAUCCACCCUCGGACAAGGCCUUCUUUUCCAAUGACUUUUCCACCUCGGUGAUCGUUUUCGUAACUACUUACCUAUACAGGUGUUAUUAAACUUUCGGGUUUUAUGCUACCCAUUGUCAACCUUAAAUCCCUUCAGAGAGGUCAGAGGUGUACGUGGAAGUUCGUUUUAGUCGGUGGCCGAAAGGUUCUUCGUUUUCUACCCAUCAAUAAGUUCACACCAUGUUUUACCCUUGUGAAGUUCACUAUCACUAUUCCUCUUCCUGGACUGGUUUAUAAUGCGGUUACGUAGUCGUCAUCGUUUGAGUGGUCUCCUUUUCUUUGCGUCCCUCGUGUCUAGAUUCGCAAAACUCUUCUCAUUCCUAAGUGGUAGUUUCAGUUCUUUAAGACGUCACUUAUUUCUACGGUACCGAGCAUAUGUAUGUUCUUCUGGGUAAAGUCGAGAACAAUGACCUUCAAUAUUUCUACCGUCGUCGAACCGGCAGCUCCUAUACCUGACCCUACGUGACUGUCAGUUCCCUUGUACAGUUCUUUAACUCUUCGCUAUAAAUGCGGAGUGCAGUCGCGGACUAGGAAGGUGCCAUUCUGGUCUUGUACAGAACCUCUUCCGCGAAAGGUACCAACUUUGUAGAGUUUUCUUAAUAGAAAUGUUCACACUAGUUGACUUUAGAUAAGCGGUUCUAGAAUGCCAAGUCUCCUAGGUCUUACUUGACUGACACUUCCAAAUACUUUGAGUACGCGCAAAUCGUGACGUUCGACCACUAGAUGGACUUAAAUUGGUCACGGUCAGUGUUGACUUCUCCGAUAUAUCUCUCCCUUUGUUACCAACAAUAAAACUUAAGAGUCGGAUGUUAAACGAGACGCAGUACGAUGUGAGAUUAUUGUUUGCACUGGACAACAGUAGUUACCGUUCGAACAGUUUUCUUCGGUUUGUUCUACCUCGACAGUUCGUACGGGAACGUCAAGUACGACGACAAAGUAGACCGUUAAUACAUUAUAAAAAGUUUAAUAUGUUUGUUCCCGGGUUGAACUUGAGAACGGAGUACCUAGAUAUACACCUCUCCUACGCAAAGCUCCGAUAUUUUACAUACAGAUCUAGUAUAGCAGGGUGCCAUGGACACCCUAUACAACGUGUCCAAAACCCUAAGAAUGAUCUACCCCUCCUGUCUAACCUUCUUACACUUUAUACCAAUUUUCGUGUACCACGGCAAGAAAGUCAUCUAUUGUCACCUCUUAACGUCUAUCUGUGUUUCCGAAGAAGAUCAUGCGAAAAGUACGGCCUCGGUCUCUUACGCCAACGUGUACCACUACGCAGUGAACGUCAAUUGCUGAAGAAACGUGCAUGUAACAUCUUCCACAUGCGAGUACCCGCACAACCACGUAUACCUACGUAACGUGUACGGGCCUACUCUUAUGCGACAAUACACGGUGUCCUUGUACUUUAUCUAGUCGAACUCUUCGGGUUCUCACGAAGAAACGGAUCUUCCAACCUCGCUCCUAUCUUUCGGUGUGACCUGAUAACCGUACAGGUGAGCUACCGACGUCAACGUGUCGAGGCCACUCGACGGCGCUCCGUUUAAGCCUCGUAACUGGUUGUGAUCGCUGCCGAUGGACGACUGUCGGUGUAAAUAGACAGUCCGGCGAGAGACUCACCUUACAAAUGUCUUUGGAGUAUAAACAAACAUUUUCAAAAUCUUGUUGAUAUCAAAACACAAACAUAGUCCGUUAAAUAUGUGAUCCACAUCCCGUUUUCUAUCCCUGUUCUUUCCAAGCCUUUAAAUAAACAUUUUGUCUGUGUCGGUUAGGAGAAUUAAAUACUUUUGUAGAGAAGAAGAACGGUU